Molecule: long non-coding RNA, 247 nt
Filed under: Neogobius melanostomus (round goby)
Lineage: Eukaryota; Metazoa; Chordata; Actinopteri; Gobiiformes; Gobiidae
Description: lncRNA (ENSNMLG00000024925.1)
Source: RNAcentral
AAAAUUCCUUUGUGCCUUGGUUCUCAGUGCUGUGGCUUCGGACCCACCUUAACCCUCAUGACAAACUGCCACCUGAAUAAAAUUAGUUAAGGGUCAGAGGUUGAAGGCGGCCAAGCGCUGACCUCCCGGCGAAAGGCCAGCGCUGACAUUUGACCCGUCGGUGGAUGCGCGGCUGACCCCCAGGAGGAUGUAGGCUACGGAUCGACAAAGGGGAGGCACGUGCCCUGGUCAAGUCGCCAUGUCUAUA